AGUAUAUGUAGUAAUCAUUUCAUUUUGUGUUUCUGCAGAAUAGCUUUGCCAGAGUCAUCAUUCAAGUAGCUUAUUAGGUGUUACCUGCUUCUCUUGCUAAGUGUAGAGCUGCAGAGUUAAUAUCCUGGUGCUGCUUGUACCUGGUGAUGACGGAAGAAUUAAAUCAUUACAACCCUUUUCUUCAUGAAAACCCCUGGUGUUGAGUUUAGCAACACGUACAGGGUUACUUUCAAUAUUAUUUUGCAUUUUGUUUUUCCUCCUUAUCUGCUUCUAAAAUUGCCUUGAAAAACAGGUGGCAUUUGUAAUCCACUUAACUCAUCUCUGCACCAAGCAACCCAUAAAGAGGUAAUGAAAUUAAAUGUCUCUUUGGCCAUUAGGACAAAUAAUAAAUGGCUCUGGCUUGAGGAAGGAGCAACACUGAUCUGAGUUGCUUUAGAGGAGCUAGGAAGACAGGUCCUUUAGAAGCAAAUAACUCUUGGAGAUCGCUGGGGGCAAAAGAAACUCUCCAGGGCUGCCUCCUUUCAAGGUGUAUGGCGUGUUUGAUCUCUGAGCUGUGCAGGCUGGUGUGAUGUGGGUACAUAAAUCUUCACACAACUUUUUUUCCAUCCCCUUUGUAACAGAUAAUGACCCCAGGGAUAAUUAGUUUGAAGAAAAGUCAUUUAAAAAAAGCGGUUUGAUCAAGGCAGAUGAAAUGGGUCUUCAGUGGGCAUAAAUUGAAAUAAAGGAAAUUCCAUUUAAUUAUUAGAAAACAACCCAUUUAUAACCUAUCUGUAAUUGUGUUCAGACACUGGCACAGGUUUCUCGAAGAGGUUAUGAAGUCUCAUCCAUGGAGAUACUCAGAUUCCAAGAGGACUGUGCUGAGCAGCCUGCUGGAGGCCAUGACCAUCAUCUCCAGAGGUGCAGUGACUGCAGUUCUGUGAAACAUCCACGGAGUAAAGUGAUGAGUCAGGUUGGCAAGGGAUGAACUGCCUCUGGGAGAAAGCUGUUUUCUGGAGUACUGGACCCAUAAUGUGAAGGUUUGUUACACAGAUACAAGAUAAAAUAUUUGGGGCAGUUGUUUUCUGUUUGGUUUUCAGAUGGACCUAUUCAACUGUAAACAUAACAAUUCUUUUAGAGCUUGCAGUGGGGAAAAAACAAAAGACAAAUUAUUAUGCUCUGGAAGAAAGUAAUCUUUGUUUUUAUAUAUAAAAAAAAAGGUUUCAUUAAGAAAAUUGCUGGCCAUAUCAAUGGACAUGCCAUGGAGGCACACUCAGCUUUACAGUCCAGUUGUUAGUGUGCAAAGC
This 1283-nucleotide long non-coding RNA is filed under the name Phasianus colchicus (ring-necked pheasant). RNAcentral's name for it is "lncRNA (ENSPCLG00000004390.1)". The record is from RNAcentral. Lineage: Eukaryota; Metazoa; Chordata; Aves; Galliformes; Phasianidae.